UGAUGAGUGCAUAUUUAUGUCCACAUUUAGGCUUUAAAAUUAAAAUUUUUGAUAGAAUAUUUGUGCUUAAACGAUUGAUUUGUAGAGGAUAUGUGAUUAUUAGAUUUAGCGUGUUUGGAAAUAAAAAGGGCUUAAAAAGUGAUUUUAAUUGCAUAAAUUAUUCUUGGAUGUUCUAAUAUUUAUUUGUGCAACUGAAGUUAGAGUUUUAUUGGUCCAAAUUGUAAUUUAAAGCCCAAAAUAAGAUUUUAUUUGAUAAAUAAUGUACAGAUGGGCCAAACAGUCAGUUUUUACCCUUGCACCCCCAGAUUUCCCUACUUGCACCCCCAGUUUUAAACCAGGCCAACAACCAAGCCCAAACACUAAACCUUUUCACCCACACCCCUUAAUUUUCCUAUCCACACCCCUCCUAACUAAACACCACCAGAUUUUGCCACGUGGCAAUCCACCACUAAUAGAUCCAACCACUCAUAACAUGCCACCUAACUCCCCAUGCCACGUCAUCACCAUCUUCAACCUUUCUCCAGAAACCCUAAUCUGGUAAACCCUAGGCGCCGACCACUUCGUCUUCCUCGACGGCGUCACCAAGCCGUGCCGGCAGCCACCAUGGAAUCGCACCACCACGGUUUCGCUUCGAUCACCAUCGUGCAACCAUUCACGCAACCGCAACCACCAUGAGCAACCUCCGUCAAUCUCCACACGCAAANAUCGNCAAUUUCCAUGGCCGCCAUCGUCUCCUCCAGUCGUCUCGAGCAAGCCGCCGUGAAGACGCUGCCAGCAACUCGGACCUGCAACCAGAAUCUCGCAACCUCCAUGGACACCGUCGCACCUCGCAUCAGUCCAAAUCUCCGCAAUCAAUCCAGUUCAUNUUCAUCACCUGCAACCCAGAUCGCGGAUUCCAUCAUCUCACCGUCAUCACAAAUCGCGCAUCAUCAACAUCGUACAGUAACCAUNGCCAUCAAUGUCGCACCACCANGNUGCCGGUGACCUUCACCCAANAGUCUCNCCGUCACAAACAGCACAAUCUCAAUGCGCCACCAUCACCUGCAGAAACCCAAUUCGCACCAUGGUCGUUGCGACUCCACCAUCUUCGCACUUCUGCCGCGCCAUCUUGUUGCGUCUUGAAGAAAUCUUCUCGCACCACCACAAUCAAACCUGCAAUAUCAAAGCCCAGAACCAAAUUNAAGAACCGGAGAUCUCUCUUGCGUUCUCGCCAACGAAAGGGGCAGAACCAAUUUCGCACACNAAGGGGCAAGCCCCUUCCCCAAUGUGAAACCCUAAUUGGGAAGGAAGAGGGCUGCCACAUGGAAACAUCUUAUUGGUGCAUCAUCUUCAGUCAAAAUUGGUCAACCAAGACUUUUCUGGUCAAGGACUGGUCAACUAAGGAGUUNUGGUGCAAUUUUAGAGAAUUUUGAAGGGGCAAAAAUACAAAUAGAGGAAAUAUUAGGACAUUUGUGCAAUUUUGAAAAUUCAGAAAAGUUUAAAGAUAAAAUUCAGUUGUUGAAUUAAUUUAAUUGGGAAUAUUAACAGAAAAUAUCUUCCAAAUAAUGUUAUAAUUAUCUAAAUCUUUUAGUUAUUUGGAAGAUAUA
This 1586-nucleotide long non-coding RNA is filed under the name Vigna radiata. RNAcentral's name for it is "long non-coding RNA (VRAD_LNC001255)". Lineage: Eukaryota; Viridiplantae; Streptophyta; Magnoliopsida; Fabales; Fabaceae. The record is from RNAcentral.